AUGCAAGUCGAGGGGUAUAGUUCUUCGGAGCUAGAGACCGGCGCACGGGUGCGUAACGCGUAUGCAAUCUACCUUUUACAGAGGGAUAGCCCAGAGAAAUUUGGAUUAAUACCUCAUAGUAUGUGAGAAUCGCAUGGUUUUCACAUUAAAGUCACAACGGUAAAAGAUGAGCACGCGUCCCAUUAGCUUGUUGGUAAGGUAACGGCUUACCAAGGCAACGAUGGGUAGGGGUCCUGAGAGGGAGAUCCCCCACACUGGUACUGAGACACGGACCAGACUCCUACGGGAGGCAGCAGUGAGGAAUAUUGGACAAUGGGCGCAAGCCUGAUCCAGCCAUGCCGCGUGCAGGAUGACGGUCCUAUGGAUUGUAAACUGCUUUUGUACAGGAAGAAACACUCCCUCGUGAGGGAGCUUGACGGUACUGUAAGAAUAAGGAUCGGCUAACUCCGUGCCAGCAGCCGCGGUAAUACGGAGGAUCCAAGCGUUAUCCGGAAUCAUUGGGUUUAAAGGGUCCGUAGGCGGUUUAAUAAGUCAGUGGUGAAAGCCCAUCGCUCAACGGUGGAACGGCCAUUGAUACUGUUAAACUUGAAUUAUUAGGAAGUAACUAGAAUAUGUAGUGUAGCGGUGAAAUGCUUAGAGAUUACAUGGAAUACCAAUUGCGAAGGCAGGUUACUACUAAUGGAUUGACGCUGAUGGACGAAAGCGUGGGUAGCGAACAGGAUUAGAUACCCUGGUAGUCCACGCCGUAAACGAUGGAUACUAGCUGUUGGGAGCAAUCUCAGUGGCUAAGCGAAAGUGAUAAGUAUCCCACCUGGGGAGUACGUUCGCAAGAAUGAAACUCAAAGGAAUUGACGGGGGCCCGCACAAGCGGUGGAGCAUGUGGUUUAAUUCGAUGAUACGCGAGGAACCUUACAAGGCUUAAAUGUAGUUUG
Molecule: ribosomal RNA, 932 nt
Filed under: uncultured Flavobacteriaceae bacterium
Lineage: Bacteria; Pseudomonadati; Bacteroidota; Flavobacteriia; Flavobacteriales; Flavobacteriaceae
Description: bacterial SSU rRNA
Rfam family: Bacterial small subunit ribosomal RNA
Source: RNAcentral